RNAcentral lists this ribosomal RNA (751 nucleotides) under uncultured prokaryote. RNAcentral describes it as "bacterial SSU rRNA". It matches the Rfam family "Archaeal small subunit ribosomal RNA", at positions 43 to 799 of the family's 1478-position model. The record is from RNAcentral.
ACUAAGCCAUGCGAGUCUUUGCAGUAAUGCAAGGCAUACGGCUCAGUAACACGUAGUCAACCUACCCUAUGGACGAGAAUAAUCUCGGGAAACUGAGCAUAAUUCUUGAUAGAUCAUAAUGCCUGGAAUGGUUUAUGGUUAAAAUGAUUCGUCGCCAUAGGAUGGGACUGCGGCCUAUCAGCUUGUUGGUGAGGUAAUGGCCCACCAAGGCGAUUACAGGUACGGGCUCUGAGAGGAGAAGCCCGGAGAUGGGUACUGAGACACGGACCCAGGCCCUAUGGGGCGCAGCAGGCGAGAAAACUUUGCAAUGUGCGAAAGCACGACAAGGUUAAUCCGAGUGAUUUCUGCUAAAGAAAUCUUUUGCCAGUCGUAAAACCGCUGGUGAAUAAGGGGUGGGCAAGUUCUGGUGUCAGCCGCCGCGGUAAAACCAGCACCUCAAGUGGUCAGGAUGAUUAUUGGGCCUAAAGCAUCCGUAGCCGGCUUUGUAAGUUUUCGGUUAAAUCCAUGUGCUCAACGCAUGGGCUGCCGAAAAUACUGCAUAGCUAGGGAGUGGGAGAGGUAGACGGUACUCAGUAGGUAGGGGUAAAAUCCUUUGAUCUAUUGAUGACCACCUGUGGCGAAGGCGGUCUACCAGAACACGUUCGACGGUGAGGGAUGAAAGCUGGGGGAGCAAACCGGAUUAGAUACCCGGGUAGUCCCAGCUGUAAACGAUGCAGACUAGAUGAUGCAUUGGCAUAAUAGCCAUUGCAGU